GGAGGGUGCAAGCGUUAUCCGGAUUCACUGGGUUUAAAGGGUGCGUAGGCGGGCAGGUAAGUCCGUGGUGAAAUCUCUGAGCUUAACUCAGAAACUGCCAUGGAUACUAUUUGUCUUGAAUAUUGUGGAGGUGAGCGGAAUAUGUCAUGUAGCGGUGAAAUGCUUAGAUAUGACAUAGAACACCAAUUGCGAAGGCAGCUCACUACACAGUUAUUGACGCUGAGGCACGAAAGCGUGGGGAUCAAACAGGAUUAGAUACCCUGGUAGUCCACGCCCUAAACGAUGAUUACUCGACAUCAGCGAUACACUGUUGGUGUCUGAGCGAAAGCAUUAAGUAAUCCACCUGGGAAGUACGAUCGCAAG
RNAcentral lists this ribosomal RNA (363 nucleotides) under uncultured bacterium. RNAcentral's name for it is "bacterial SSU rRNA". It matches the Rfam family "Bacterial small subunit ribosomal RNA", at positions 527 to 892 of the family's 1533-position model. The record is from RNAcentral.